UGAACCUCUGUUCUGUUACAGGUUUAAACCAGUUUCUGAUGAUGUAAACUGGUUUGUGUGUAACUUCUCUCCCUAGCACCAGUAAUAUUGGUGGCGAGCCUGGUGCAGCCUGUGGAUAAAUGAACUCAUUUACCCCUUCUUGCAGCAGACUGGCUAUGAUGUGUGUUGCUGCCUUAGUCAUCAAGUAGCCAUCAGUCAUCUUUCCAGAAGCAUGAGCAACAGGAGGGUAAAAAUUCCACUGAAUGGGGAAGUUUCAGAAAACAAGCUAGGAUGUGUAGUGUCCCUGACUAUUAAGAUGAGAGCUGCAUUUCAUGACAGAAAGCAACAAACAGGAACAUCUAAUCUGUCCCUAGAGAUUUGGAGGCUCUGUAUGGGUGAGACCAAAUCCAAACCACUACUGGCUUAGGUGCCCUAACCCUGUUAUACUCCUGUCCCGUAUCAGACUCCUGCCCCACCACUGCCCGCACUGCUCCAGAGGCUGCUGCCUCAGGUGAUCACUGACCCAUCCAAACACAGGACAACCUCUUGGUUGCGGGAAGAGGUAACCACCAUUCCCCUUGCUAAUCAGGGAUGAGGGGAGGGGCCACUGCCAAUCAGGAGCAAGAGGUAGGGCUACAAGGCCCCUUAGCCAAUCAGCAGCAAGGGGUGGG
This 650-nucleotide long non-coding RNA is filed under the name Crocodylus porosus (Australian saltwater crocodile). Its description in RNAcentral is "lncRNA (ENSCPRG00005009793.1)". Lineage: Eukaryota; Metazoa; Chordata; Crocodylia; Crocodylidae. The record is from RNAcentral.